UACGUAGGGGGCGAGCGUUGUCCGGAUUUACUGGGCGUAAAGGGCGCGUAGGCGGUCUGCUAAGUCAGAAGUGAAAUCUCCAGGCUCAACUUGGAAACUGCUUUUGAUACUGGCGGACUGGAGUAGCGGAGAGGUGAUUAGAAUUCCCGGUGUAGCGGUGACAUGCAUUGAUAUCGGGAGGAAUACCAACAGCGAAGGCAGAUCACUGGUCGCUUACUGACGCUGAGGCGCGAAAGCGUGGGGAGCAAACAGC
This 253-nucleotide ribosomal RNA is filed under the name uncultured bacterium. Its description in RNAcentral is "partial 16S ribosomal RNA". It matches the Rfam family "Bacterial small subunit ribosomal RNA", at positions 524 to 776 of the family's 1533-position model. The record is from RNAcentral.